This 1452-nucleotide long non-coding RNA is filed under the name Oncorhynchus mykiss (rainbow trout). RNAcentral describes it as "lncRNA (ENSOMYG00000036988.2)". Lineage: Eukaryota; Metazoa; Chordata; Actinopteri; Salmoniformes; Salmonidae. The record is from RNAcentral.
GUGCCCGCCUGCUCCGUGGUGUCCUCCUCCAGUGCCCCGUGCCCUCUUGUGUCCUCUUUGCCCUGUGCCCUCACCUCUAGCAGUAUCAAAAGCCGCCGUUCCUCCUACCUGCUGGCCAUUACCACGGAGCGCUCCAAGUCAUGUGACGAGGGCCUCAACACCUUCCGGGAGGAAGGCCGUGUCUUCUCGAGACUACCAAAAAGGGUCAAGAGCUUUUUCACUGAUGGGUCUCUGGAGAGUCUACGUGCUGCAGAGGAGGCGCGGUCGAAACGUCACUCCACCUCUGAGCUAGGGACCAUCACCUUCAGUGACGUACGCAAGGACGGCUGGCUUCACUACAAACAGAUCCUCACGGAGAAGGGAAAAAAGGUGGGCGGCGGCAUGCGUCCGUGGAAGCACGUCUUCUCCGUGCUGCGCUCCCACUGCCUUUUGCUCUACAAAGACAAGCGGGAGGCGGUCCUCCACGGGGCGGGGGCGGGACCUGGCCACGGGGAGGACGAGCACCCUCCAAUCAGCAUCCGCGGCUGCCUGAUUGACAUUGCCUAUAGCGAAACCAAGCGUAAGCACACUCUGAGGCUGACCACUCAGGACUUCUGUGAGUACCUGUUGCAGGCGGAGGACAGAGAUGACAUGCUGGGCUGGAUCCGGGUCAUCAGAGAGAACAGCAAGACAGACAACGAGGAGCUGGGUUUUUCCAGACAAGCUCUCAUCAGCAAGAAGCUCAAUGACUACAGGAAACAAACCAAGGGUCCAUGGGGUAUCAUCAUGAAGAAAGCAAAGAAGACAGGCCCCAAGGUGUUUGGAGUGCGACUUGAGGACUGUCAACCUGCUGUUAACAACAAGUUUGUCCCUCUGAUUGUGGAGCUGUGCUGUGGGCUGGUGGAGAGCAUGGGUCUGGAGUACACUGGCGUCUACAGGGUGCCGGGCAACAAUGCCAUGGUGUCCAACCUGCAGGAGCAGCUCAACAGGGGCCUGGAGAUCAACAUUACUGAGGAGAGAUGGCAGGACCUGAAUGUGAUCAGCAGUCUCCUCAAGUCCUUCUUUAGGAAACUCCCAGAACCCCUGUUCACUGAUGACAAGUAUAAUGACUUUAUUGAUGCCAACCGGCUAGAGGACUCAGGGAACAGGCUGAAGAGCAUGAAGAAACUGAUCCAUGAUCUUCCAGACCACUAUCACCACACUCUAAAGUUCCUGGUCUGUCAUCUGAAGACAGUGGCGGAUCACGCCGACAAGAACAAGAUGGAGCCCAGGAACCUGGCUCUAGUGUUUGGUCCCACUCUGGUGCGUACCUCAGAGGACAACAUGACCGACAUGGUCACCCACAUGCCCGACCGCUACAAGAUCAUCGAGACGCUCAUCCUGCAUGUAAGAACUGCAGUCGGUGGGGUUGACCAUGGCAGACAGACCUCCCACUCUGUCCCUGGCUACCCAGGGAAUACAGUAGUACCAUAG